GGAGUCUAGCAUGUGCGCGAGUCAUUGGGACUUGAAUACCUAAAGGCAAAAUGAAAGUGAAGGUGUACCUUUGCGUAUACUUAGGGAAGAUGGGUUAUCCAAAGUGGUAGCCCCGCAUUCCCGGGGCGUCUCGUUCUCUCACAUGCCUUGCGUGUGUGACGAGUUGAGGCGCACCCAGAGCGUACACGCUGGGACCCGAAAGAUGGUGAACUAUGCCUGGUCAGGAUGAAGUCAGGGGAAACCCUGAUGGAGGUCCGUAGCGAUUCUGACGUGCAAAUCGAUCGUAAGAACUGGGUAUAGGGGCGAAAGACUAAUCGAACCAUCUAGUAGCUGGUUCCCUCCGAAGUUUCCCUCAGGAUAGCUGGCAUUCGUUAUGCUUUAAUUAACAUUAAUGAGUCUCAUCCGGUAAAGCGAAUGAUUAGAGGCAUUGGGGUCGAAACGGCCUCAACCUAUUCUCAAACUUUAAAUGGGUAAGAUCUCCGGCUUGCUUAAAUAAUGAAGCCGCGAGAAAGGAUCAAGGAGCGCCAAGUGGGCCAAUUUUGGUAAGCAGAACUGGCGCUGUGGGAUGAACCAAACGUAGAGUUAAAGCGCCUAAAUUAACGCUUAUGGGAUACCAUGAAAGGCGUUGGUAACUUAAGACAGCAGGACGGUGGCCAUGGAA
This 661-nucleotide ribosomal RNA is filed under the name Eucnemidae sp. UPOL 001331. Its description in RNAcentral is "eukaryotic LSU rRNA". It matches the Rfam family "Eukaryotic large subunit ribosomal RNA", at positions 670 to 1259 of the family's 3401-position model. Lineage: Eukaryota; Metazoa; Arthropoda; Insecta; Coleoptera; Eucnemidae. The record is from RNAcentral.